ACCUGGCUAGCUCAGUAGGUAGAGCAUGAGACUCCUAAUCUCAGGGUCACGGGUUCAAGCCCCACAUUGGGUA
Non-coding RNA from Alexandromys fortis (reed vole), 73 nucleotides. NCBI's taxonomy places the organism in Eukaryota, Metazoa, Chordata, Mammalia, Rodentia, Cricetidae. The record is from the annotation of a RefSeq genome assembly.